UACAGAGGGUGCAAGCGUUGUUCGGAAUUAUUGGGCGUAAAGCGCGUGUAGGCGGCUUUGCAAGUCGGGUGUGAAAGCCCUCAGCUUAACUGAGGAAGUGCGCCCGAAACUGCAGAGCUUGAGUACCGGAGAGGAUGGUGGAAUUCCCCAAGUAGAGGUGAAAUUCGUAGAUAUGGGGAGGAACACCGGUGGCGAAGGCGACCAUCUGGACGGAUACUGACGCUGAGACGCGAAAGCGUGGGUAGCAAACAGA
This 253-nucleotide ribosomal RNA is filed under the name uncultured bacterium. RNAcentral describes it as "partial 16S ribosomal RNA". It matches the Rfam family "Bacterial small subunit ribosomal RNA", at positions 524 to 776 of the family's 1533-position model. The record is from RNAcentral.